AAGCUAAUAAUAGGUAACCAUCACAGGUAAAGCAGAAGGAAAGGGAUAGGAGGUUCUCUACGAAUUCAUGAUGUUUUAUACUUUUAUGUGUAGAUAUGCUUUUUGAAAAGAAUAAUGUCAUGUAAGUUUGGAAUGAAAUAUCAGCUAUGGCUUCAAAAGAUUGUGCAAAAAAGUUUUCUGGCAAGGAAAAUUUUCUAAAAAUGUUGGAUUUUAUGGUAAAAUUCAUUGAAAUUCAUUACAAUAAUGAAAAUAUUACAGAAAAAAAUCAGUGUUUGAUAUUAUUAUGCAAACAAUAAAUUUGUACUAGAGAAGUUAGCUAUGAUUGUAUAUCAGAGUUUAUAUGUGCAUAUAUAUGUGCAUGCAAUUUUACUAUGUAUAUGUGUAUUUAUGUACUUGUGUAUAUGUGCAACAUUUAUGUGUGCUUGAAAGAUUGAUAAACAUGACAAAUGACAACCUAGAAAAGAUAAAUUUCAAUAAAAUUUGUACAACUCACUUUGCUGUCUACAUAUUAAACCGAUAUCUUCAGAAAAAAAUAAUUUUAAAAGCUGCUUGAUUCUUGGAUAUUAAGUAAAAUGUUAAAAGAAUUAUGGCCUGCUUGUCAAACAUGAUUUAAGACAAAAAUAAAUCAGAACAAACUAUGAAAUCAAAGGCGAAAUGAAUGAGGCGAAAAGUCAAGGACAUGUUAUACUAAGACUAUAUUUACAGAAAAAUAUAUACUUAUAUCUUUCAGAACACCAAAGAGGAAAAAAGAGAUGAAAAUUUAUGUUCUUGCUAAUUGUGAUACUAGAUUCAAAUAGCUACCUUCAGGUAUAUAUCAAUUGCUCUGUAGAGUCCAUCAUCAAUUACACGAGCAUAAUCUGGCAAUAGUUCAAUAAUAGCCAUAAACUUUGGCAAUUUGAGGUGUGGAUCUGGUGCAAUUUCUGCAAGAUACCCAUCCAUAAGCCUCCCCACUUUCAGAACUGAACUAUGACUUGGGGACUUGAGACCUUCAGAUUCAUAUCCACACUGCAAUGACUCUUCAGAAUCUUCAUCUUCAAUCCUCUGCAGGAAAGUCACCAGUAUACGAUGGACGGUAUCAACAUCAAACACUGAAUCACUCGUCUGCAAUGAAGGAAUGAGCAGGUCAUCAAGUGAAGCCAUUUCCAACUGGAAACUAAUCCUCCUCUCAAGCUCAAGCCUACAGCCAUGACCUGCAUUCACCUCUAUUGCCAUCCUUAGCAUCCCAAACAGGAAGGACAGAGGAACAGAGGUAAUCUUCUCUGUUGCUAAGAUACCAACAAGUGUUUCUAUGAUCACUCUCUGCUUGUCUCCCAAAAAAGCACUAGAAUCCCAACCUUGAUGUCUUUCAAUACCCUUUAGAGAGGUUUGUGCAUAGUGCACAAUUGAAGUGGUAAUGCUAUCCGAUCUCACCCCGGUCCUCCUCAUGGCAGCAAUAACUCGCUG
RNAcentral lists this long non-coding RNA (1443 nucleotides) under Elaeis guineensis (African oil palm). Its description in RNAcentral is "long non-coding RNA (EGUI_LNC021836)". The record is from RNAcentral. Lineage: Eukaryota; Viridiplantae; Streptophyta; Magnoliopsida; Arecales; Arecaceae.